This 497-nucleotide ribosomal RNA is filed under the name uncultured bacterium. RNAcentral's name for it is "partial 16S ribosomal RNA". It matches the Rfam family "Bacterial small subunit ribosomal RNA", at positions 28 to 507 of the family's 1533-position model. The record is from RNAcentral.
GAUGAACGCUGGCGGCGUGCCUAAUACAUGCAAGUCGAGCGAACGGACGAGAAGCUUGCUUCUCUGAUGUUAGCGGCGGACGGGUGAGUAACACGUGGAUAACCUACCUAUAAGACUGGGAUAACUUCGGGAAACCGUAGCUAAUACCGGAUAAUCUUUUGAACCGCAUGGUUCAAAAGUGAAAGACGGUCUUGCUGUCACUUAUAGAUGGAUCCGCGCUGCAUUAGCUAGUUGGUAAGGUAACGGCUUACCAAGGCAACGAUGCAUAGCCGACCUGAGAGGGUGAUCGGCCACACUGGAACUGAGACACGGUCCAGACUCCUACGGGAGGCAGCAGUAGGGAAUCUUCCGCAAUGGGCGAAAGCCUGACGGAGCAACGACGCGUGAGUGAUGAAGGUCUUCGGAUCGUAAAACUCUGUUAUUAGGGAAGAACAGAUGUGUAAGUAACUGUGCACAUCUUGACGGUACCUAAUCAGAAAGCCACGGCUAACUACGUG